This is a long non-coding RNA of Oncorhynchus tshawytscha (Chinook salmon), 1184 nucleotides long. NCBI's taxonomy places the organism in Eukaryota, Metazoa, Chordata, Actinopteri, Salmoniformes, Salmonidae. The record is from Ensembl.
AAACGCGUUUAAACCGAACUCUUCCCGUCUUCUUCAAGUUUUUCCCAAAUUGAGGUAAACGUCAACGAAUCUUAAUCGAAUUUAACCUACAUGGAUAAAAAUAUAAACCAUGGAAAAACAUUGCUUGGAUCUUGUUCCCUGGACCUUGGACUUUUGGUGUGGAUGAUCAGGGCCUACCAAAGCAAUGUUUCUCAAACAACUGUGGGGUGUUUGUUUUGAUGUAUGCUCUGUACAUUUCAAUUGAAGCACAGUGUGAUUUCACUGAGAGGUUGAAAGAUCCAAAAAGGCGGUGAAAACACAAUACAGGGUGAUGUAGAUUCCCCCCCCAAGAAGUCACAUCAGCAUCCAGCUCUGCAGGAUCAGACGAUACUGAAAACAAAAUGCACUGGGGGCUGUGAACUGGGAAGCAGCUGUUCUUCUAAGGAACACCCUAGAGGCAGCAAGGUGGCGCGAACUCUGAACAUUUAAAGGCACUGUUUCCCUCCCCCUAGUGUAAUUGGGAUGGAUGGGGAAGACUGCAUUUACAACCCUUAAAGAACUAUGGUUGUAUGAUGGCCAGGAUGAAGAGGAAACUUAAUAUCCUCAAGGAACCAUUCAUGUUACAGAGAGAUUAUGAGAUGUUUGAUUUAUUUAUUUUUUAUUUUACCUUUAUUUAACCAGGUAGGCAAGUUGAGAACAAGUUCUCAUUUACAAUUGCGACCUGGCCAAGAUAAAGCAAAGCAGUUCGACAGAUACAACGACACAGAGUUACACAUGGAGUAAAACAAACAUACAGUCAAUAACACAGUAUAAACAAGUCUAUAUACAACGUGAGCAAAUGAGGUGAGAAUGGAGGUAAAGGCAAAAAAGGCCAUGGUGGCAAAGUAAAUACAAUAUAGCAAGUAAAACACUGGAAUGGUAGUUUUGCAAUGGAAGAAUGUGCAAAGUAGAAAUAAAAAUAAUGGGGUGCAAAGGAGCAAAAUAAAUUUAAAAUUAAAUACAGUUGGGAAAGAGGUAGUUGUUUGGGCUAAAUUAUAGGUGGGCUAUGUACAGGUGCAGUAAUCUGUGAGCUGCUCUGACAGUUGGUGCGUAAAGCUAGUGCGGGAGAUAAGUGUUUCCAGUUUCAGAGAUUUUUGUAGUUCGUUCCAGUCAUUGGCAGCAGAGAACUGGAAGGAGAGGCGGCCAAAGAAAGAAUUGGUUUUGGG